Sapajus apella (tufted capuchin) is the source of this 5224-nucleotide RNA transcript. It is a transcript of the gene named selenoprotein N pseudogene, with no coding region annotated. The record is from RefSeq and is a predicted model, not a curated record. NCBI's taxonomy places the organism in Eukaryota, Metazoa, Chordata, Mammalia, Primates, Cebidae. The transcript has a single exon.
AAAAAAAUAAAAGUUUAAAAAAAAAAGUGUACAAUUAAAUGGUUUUUAGUACAUUCACAGAGUUGUGCAACUAUCACCACAAUUAGUUUUAGAACAUAUUCAUCACUUUCAGAAGAAACUCAGUACCCAUUAGUAUUUACUUCACAUUUUCCCCCAAGCCCACCAGCCCUGGGCAACCACUAAUCUUUCUGCCUCUGGGGGUUUCCCUAUUCUGGACAUUUCAUAUAAAUGGAAUCAUGUGGCCUUUUGUGAUCUGGCUUCCUUUAGUUAGCAUCAUGUUUUCAGGUUCAUCUGUGUUGUAGCAUAUACCCAUACUUCUUUCAAUUGUUAGCUAAUAUUCCGUUAUAUAGACAUGCCACGUUUUGUUAUCCAUUCAUCAGUUGGUGGACAUUUGGUUUGUUUCCGUCUUUCAGCUAUUACAAAUAACACUGCUAUGAACAUUUGUGUACAAGUUUCUGUGUAGAAUAUGUUUUCAUUUCUGUUGCGUGUGUACCCAGGAGUGGAAUUGCUGGGUCCCAGGGUAGCUAUGUUUAGCAUUUUCAGGAACUGCCAGACUUUUCCAAAGCAGCUGUCCCAUUUAACAUUCCUGCCAGCAGUGUAGGAGGGCUCCAGUUUCCUAAUAUUCUCAUCAACACUUGUUAUUAAAUACUUUCUGCUAGACUAUCUUUUGAAAUAAUGAAUUUUGUAAGCUUAUGCUAUGUCAUUUAUUUUCCUGAAAGUAAAAAUAUUUAAAUGAUGCCUCUUACGAUGACUCUUAGCUAUUAUUUUUGAAGUUGGAUACCUGGUUUCACAUUCAAUUUUGUGAUUUUAUAAACUUUCAUCAUAUUCUUUUUAGCUGAAUUAAAAAAUAUAUAUAUAUCUAAAGAGAUAUAUCUUAAUAAAAGUGUGUGUGUGUAUAUAUAUAUAUAUGUGUAUAUAUAUAUAUAUAUAUAUAUAAAAACAAAAAUAAUCUUUUAACCUUAAAAAUAAAGCCCUUCCAUCUUUUUUAUUAGUUUAAUGUUAAAACAAUUAAGCCAGCCAUGAGCCGGGCCCGGCUGGGCCAGCGCGGGCAGCCCGGCCCUGGCCCCGGCCCCAGCCCCACUGUGCCGCCUCCCGAGCCGCCACCCCGCCGUGGCACCCGCGCCCUGGCGCUGCUCGGACCCCUGCUGGGUGCAGCCACCGCCGCCGCCGUCAGGGUCUGCGCCCGCCACGCCGAGGCCCAGGCGGCCGCGCGGCAGGAAUCAAUGCUGAAGACCUUCGGGACAGAUGGCCUUUUUCUCUUUUCCUCCUUGGACACUGACGGGGACAUGUACAUCGGCCCCGAGGAGUUCCAGCCCAUUGCUGAGAAGCUAACAGGGUCAACUCCUGAGGCCAGCUACGAGGAGGAGGAGCUGCCCCCUUGACCCUAGCGAGGAGAGGCUCACCAUAGAAGCCCGAUUCCAGCCUCUUUUCCCGGAGACCAUGACCAAGAAAGAGCAAAGAUGGCUUCCUAAAGGUCUCGCGCCUCACCCUGUCCGGCCUCCGAAACUGGAUGACUGCGGCCUCACCGAGGGCAGUGUUUGCCGCCCGCCACUUCCAGCCCUUCCUUCCCCUGCCAGGCCAGGAGCUGGGCAAACCCUGGUGGAUCAUCCCCAGUGAGCUGAGCGUCUUCACCCGCUACCUGUCCAACAACCGCUUCUAUCCACCGCCGCCCAAGGGCAAGGGGGUCAUCAUCCCCCGGAUCCUGAGCAUGUUCCACCCGCGGCCCUUCGUGAAGACCCGCUUUGCCCCUCAGGGGGCCGUGGCCACCCUGACUGCUGUCAGCGACUUCUACUACACUGUGAUGUUCCGGAUCCAUGCCGAGUUCCAGCCCGACUUCCCCUUCUGGUUCUCCCCUGCUGAGUUCACCGGCCACGUCAUUCUCUCCAAAGAUGCCACCCACGUCUGCGACUUCCGGCUCUUUGUGCCCAACCGCAGGUCUGUGAAUGUGGACAUGGAGUGGCUUUAUGGGGCCAGUGAAAGCAGCAACAUGGACGUGGACAUCGGCUGCAUACCCCAGAUGGAGCUGGAGGCCACGGGCCCCUCAGUGCCCUCCAUGAUCCUGGAUGAGGAUGGCAGCGUGAUCGACAGCCACCUGCCCUCGGGGGAGCCCCUGCAGUUUGUGAUUUGAGGAGAUCAAGUGGCAGCAGGAGCUGAGCUGGGAGGAGGCCACCUGGCGCCUGGAGGUAGCCAUGUACCCCUUCAAGAAGGUCUCCUACUUGCCAUUCACUGAGGCCUUCCACCAAGCUAAGGCUGAGAACAAGCUCGUGCACUCGAUCCUGCUGUGGGGGACCCUGGAGGACCAGUCCUGCUGAGGUUCGGGGGUGGACUCUCCCGGAGAUGGUCCUGGGAAGUUCGCUUAUCCUCACCCUGCUCAACGAGAGUCUCAUCAGCAUCUGGUCCCUGGUGAAGGAGCUGGAGGAGCUACAGAGCAACCAGGAGAACACGGCCCAGCAGAAGUUGGCUGGCCUGCACCUGGAGAAGUACAGCUUUCCCGUGGAGAUGAUGAUCUGCCUGCCCAAUGGCACCGUGGUCCACCACAUCAAUGCCAACUACUUCUUGGACAUCACCUCCAUGAAGCCCAAGGAAAUCGAGAGCAAUCUCUUUAGCUUCUCACCCACCUUUGAAGACCCAUUCACAGCCACCUACAUGCAGUUCCUGAAGGAGGGGCUCUGGCACGGCCUGCACCUGCUGCAGCCCUAGAGUGCCUGCGGGACCGAUGGGAUCUGAUGCACAGGCCCCCACUCCCCAGAGCCAGAGUGGUCCUCAGCCCACUGCUGACUGCAGAUGCCGCCCACGCCCACCCAUUCCUAGGUUGCCUUGGGGGCUACAAUAUCCACUGAGGGUGCCCGUCACAGCCUUGGCUCCAUGGUGGUGGGUAAACAAGGGGUGCCUGGGCUGACUGGGCAGAGGAACCUCUAGCUCUGACUGUCACCCUCUCCCUACCCACUUGGCCCUGGAAGCUGCUUGGGCCCCCCCAGAUCAGGGCCUGGGGGGCCUCGGACCUCUCCCAGCCAGCAACACAGUCUAGGCCCUUGGGGGGUGAAGAAGAGGAGGGAGGAGCAGGCUAGGAGGGCAGGGCCACCAUCCUCUCCUUGCUUCCUUCCCCAAGGAAAUAUCCAGAAGCCCCAGGCAGGAGGGGCCAGGCUGCAAAGGUGGCUCUUCUGUUCUAGCGCCUUGGUUCCUGUCCAAACCCCGGGCUGCCCUCCUGUGCCUGAUGUCCCCAGCUGGGGUCAGCCUCAGCAGAACACAGCCUUCUGGAGCCUCUGGGCAGAACCCUCCAUCAGAAGUGGAAACCAGACUGAACCCCCUGUAGCUCCCCCGCCUGUCUGGGGAAGCUUACUGGGAAGAGGCUUCUGCCUUUAGCAAUGGGGUUCACUAAGAGGGUUCCUGAGGCUUAGGGCCAAGGCUCCCCCACUGCCCACCCCAGCACAGGGUCUCCAUGGGACUGCUGGAGCCAGGACUCCUGCCAUCCCUCCUGCCCCUCAGACCUCACAUCCACGGAAGCGUAGCCCAGCCAAAGAACAGCCUUCUCCAGAGCCAGCACUGUCCCGGCCACAGGGGUGCCCCAGGCUACCUCUUCUACCACUGGGGUGCCAUGGACUCCCCUUGGCAACUCUUGGGACUUUGGUCCACGUUCUGAGCCACUGACCACGGCCAGUCUCUUUUUUUAAUACAUGCAGAAAAGUGUUUUCACACAAACUUUCUCAUGGUUUGUAGGUAUUUUUUUAUAACCCCGGUGCUGAGGAGAAAGGAGGGGCACUGGCGUCCCCGGCAGCAGCCCCAUCCCAUGAUGGCUGGAUCUGAAAUCCUCGAUGGGUCCAGCUUGAUGUCUCUGCAGCUGCACCUAUGGAAAGAAAUAGUCGUCUCUUCUCUUCAGCUUUUUAAAAACAGCCCUCAGAGGAUUCCUGUUCUCCCCGCCCUCUCCCAUCCUCCACGCAGCCCAUGGGCGCCUGUGCACUCUCAUUCAGGCCUUGACGUCAGGCUGCCCCCUCCCAGGACCCUAAUUUUCUCCCCACCUCCUCACCCCACCUAGGGCUCAUUCUUAAACCUGGCAGAGGAAGAAGGAAGCUACAUUGCAGCCACUCCCAGUCCUUCUGUCCACUGACUUCCCCCGCUUGCCUUGGGCGUUCCCACUGAGCCUUCCGCAGCCAAUCAUCUUCUCAAUUUUGUUUUGUUUUGUUUUGAGACGGAGUCUUGCUCUGUUGCCCAGGCUGGAGUGCAAUGGCAUGAUCUCAGCUCACUGCAACCUCCGCCUCCUGGGUUCAAGCGAUUCUCCUGCCUCAGCCUCCUGAGUAGCUGGGAUUACAGGCAUAUGCCAUCAUGCCUGGCCAAUUUUUGUAUUUUUAGUAGAGACAGGGUUUCACCCUAUUAGGCUGAUCUCGAACUCCUGACCGCGACCCCAUGAUCCACCCACCUCAGCCUCCCAAAGUGUUGGCAUUACAGGCGUGAGCCACCGCACCCAGGCUUGUUCUCAAUUUUGUAUCAUCCAGUCAUCACUAACAUUAUACACACUUUCUCGCUUAAUCCUCACGACAAACCUGUGAGGCGAUGCUCAUUGUUCCCAUCUUGAAACUUGAGUCUCCAGGAAGUGAAGUGACUUGCCCAGGGUCACUCAGCCAGAUGGAGUUUUGGGGGUGUUUUUUGGCAAUGCACCCUCACCUCCCUACCUGUUUUCCCUGAGGUAGAAAGGAAGGCCUUUCAAACCAGAGUAUCUCACUCUCCUCUGACCCCCAGACCAGAAGGAGCAUGAGCCAGCCAGCUCAGCCAGGCUCUCUGUGUCCUCGGAGGAAGUGUUCCCAUGACCUGUGCCCCUUAGUGGGAAGGUAGAGCGCCUGAUACUCUCUCCCUGUCUCCCCUGUCCUGUCAGGUGUAGAUGGCAGGGGUAGCUCAUGCAAGCCUUUCUCCCGCUAUUCCUGGAGAGCCAACUCCACAUGCCUGGUCCCAUGAGAGGAGCUGAUGGCCUGGGCUUUCCGAGGCCUCAUCUGAUGCCUCUGCAGUUCCUGUCCCCCACCAGGCCUCAAGGCUCAGGGUGAGAAUGGCCCUAGACUGCCCUCCUGUCACUCCUUUGCCACUUCCCUCCCCUGUCCCCAACAUGCCCUGUAAUAAAAUUAGAGAAGACUGAAAAAAAUAAAAAUAAAAAACAAGCCAGGGACAUUUGUAUCCUCUGAUGUGUCUAGCCUAGUAAUUAUUCAAUAAAUGUGUUUUUAAUCGGUUGAUUCUCAAA